Molecule: long non-coding RNA, 416 nt
Organism: Anastrepha obliqua
Lineage: Eukaryota; Metazoa; Arthropoda; Insecta; Diptera; Tephritidae
Exons: 3
Source: RefSeq, a predicted model, not a curated record
GUUUAGCAAGUUAUUAUUAGUUUCAAUUUCCCGUUUGUAUAGCUUGAAAGAAUAAAGUGAGAACCGGGCAUUUGACGAGCGGAUUGUUUUGUAUUCAUUAAGAUUAAGUACCUACCUUUCAAAAUGUGUAAAUGUUUGGCAGGAAAUGUAGCGUGUUGCUGCUUCAAUUGCGCGCUCAGUGUUCUAAUAUCAAUUCUAAGCGCAUUUUUUGUGGUUUUUCUAAUAGUCGGCGUAAUAGUGUACUUUGUUUAUUAUCAUGAGCAAGAAAAUGACACUGCAAGCAAAAUAAGGGACGGGCUAAAAGCAGGGCUUGACAAUGGAUUGGACAAAAUAAAUGAUGCUUUAUCAAGAAAAUAAGGACUACUGUGCCAUGCCAGGCAUAAAAAUGCCCAACACUAUUUUAAAAUGAAUCUUGU